RNAcentral lists this long non-coding RNA (1736 nucleotides) under Helianthus annuus (common sunflower). Its description in RNAcentral is "hypothetical non coding rna". The record is from RNAcentral. Lineage: Eukaryota; Viridiplantae; Streptophyta; Magnoliopsida; Asterales; Asteraceae.
UGUACCAUACUAAUAUAUAUUCGGUACCCAGUUUUGUUCAGAUUCAAUACUAUCGAUCCCAUCCCUUAUUUCAUAGAUCAAUUCAGCAAACAAACUCACAAUAAAUAAAAUGCAGGAUCUAAUCAUGUGUAAGUAAGUACCAAUGAUAAUCAUGUAAACAACGAGCAAUCCAACGUUAUUAACAACAAUUCCGAUCUGCAACAGCGACCGUCCGGCACCACCGAACGCAUCUCCAACAAGUCCGGCGUACGAACUGGACUUAGAAGCCCUACUAAACCUAAUUAUCAUAUCAACGGAAGUUUCAGUCAAGAUUCCGACCAGUAGAAUAACAAUUAGGCCUGGAAUCAUGCCUAACUGCUUCAGAGUCGCCGGAAGAGCCAUGAUUCCGGCACCGACAAUGGUGGUUGAGAGGUUGAAGACAGCGCCGGAGAACGAGGAGCCGGUGAAUGUGGAUUCCGGUGGAAAGGUGGAGUUGGUGGUGGUGGUGGUGUGACGGUGGUGGGGGAGGAGUGGAGUUGAGUUGAGGAUCCGCCGGCGGUUGUGGUCGCCGGUCGGCAUUUGGUGGAAGUUUGUGGUGGAGAGAGGGUGGAAAUGAUGAGAUGGAAGUGAUGUGAGUGAUCGGAAAGUGACGUAAGCAGAUGGGUGUGAAUGUUUGUUAAGUGGUGUUUGAUUUGUUGUUAUCUAUAGGGUGAGACCACUUGCUAGUUCUCUAAUCAACGUUUAAUUUUGAUAGACUUUGGUUAUCUUUUAUCAGAAAAAGAAAAAGGAUGAAAUACAAAUAACUAUAAGUUAUUGUAGGGAUGAGCACGGUACCCGUUCGGUACCGAACUGGUACCGGUACCGAAAGUACCGGUACUAAAAAAGGGGAAAAGUGAGUACUGGUACCGAAGUUUGGUACCAGUACCGGUACCGAAAAACGAAGAAAGUAGGUACCGGUACCGAAUAUACCCGGUACGGUUCGGUACCGGUACCCGGUACCAAAUGCUCAUCCCUAAGUUAUAGUCUAUAACGUAUAAAACGUGUAGUGCGUGAUAUGUUGAGAACAAGAGGUGGCAAUUUGUAAUUUUCUCUAACUGAAAUUUCUUCAUGUCAAUCUUACGUUCUUUCUUCGCAAUCGAUGACCCUGAUUCCUCCAUAUUUUAAUCAGAUUUCGUAGUUUGAUUUUAUGGUAAGGGUUUAGUAGUUUGAUUUCAUGUACCCUAGUGUCUACGCCCCGCUUGCGGUUGCGGUAUGCACAUAUAAUGUAUAUAUGUGUGGGCCAUCGGGGGGCAAAAGUGAAAGUGCACUAAUUUUAAUGUUAUUUUACUAAUUUCGUGAAAAUAACGUUAAAAGCUGAGGACGGUUAAUCACGCAUCAUGUGGUGGCGUUGAUAGCUGAAAGACAAAAUGGUACAUGAACUAAUCGGUGUUUGUCCUGAUUGCUGAGUGUUAUGUGCCUUAUGUCCAAGGCUUGAUGCAAAACUACUAUCGAGCCGGGGGUCUCACUGGAAGCAGGCUCUCUAUACCUACGGGGUAGAGGUAAGACUGUCUACAUCUUACCCUCCUCCUCAGACCCUACCUUUGCUUUGCUAUUUGUGGGAUUUACUGAGUAUGAUGAUGAUGAUGAUGAUGGUUUAGUAGGCGAUUCAAUUUUAUCCCAAAAUCGAUUGAUUGCAUCGUUGUUUUAUCAUCAAUGGCUGAACAGAUGAACUCUAGUUUGCAAGUACGAAUUGGUAUAUAAUUAGAUUAGUUUUUUAC